This 426-nucleotide ribosomal RNA is filed under the name uncultured bacterium. RNAcentral's name for it is "partial 16S ribosomal RNA". It matches the Rfam family "Bacterial small subunit ribosomal RNA", at positions 354 to 796 of the family's 1533-position model. The record is from RNAcentral.
GUGAGGAAUUUUCCGCAAUGGGCGAAAGCCUGACGGAGCAAUGCCGCGUGAAGGAUGAAGGCCUAUGGGUUGUAAACUUCUUUUCUCAGAAAAGAAUUAUGACGGUAUCUGAGGAAUAAGCAUCGGCUAACUCUGUGCCAGCAGCCGCGGUAAGACAGAGGAUGCAAGCGUUAUCCGGAAUGAUUGGGCGUAAAGCGUCUGUAGGUUGUUUAAAAAGUAUUCUGUCAAAGAUUAGGGCUUAACCCUAGAUAGGCAGAAUAAACUUUUAAGCUAGAGUUUGGUAGAGGCAGAGGGAAUUCCCGGUGGAGCGGUGAAAUGCGUAGAUAUCGGGAGGAACACCAAAGGCGAAGGCACUCUGCUGGGCCAAUACUAACACUGAGAGACGAAAGCGAGGGGAGCAAACAGGAUUAGAAACCCGAGUAGUCC